Molecule: ribosomal RNA, 201 nt
Filed under: uncultured bacterium
Lineage: Bacteria
Description: partial 16S ribosomal RNA
Rfam family: Bacterial small subunit ribosomal RNA
Source: RNAcentral
ACGCUCGACACCUACGGGAGACAGCAGUGGGGAAUAUUGGGCAAUGGGCGCAAGCCUGACCCAGCAACGCCGCGUGAAGGAUGAAGGCUUUCGGGUUGUAAACUUCUUUUAUCAGGGACGAAACAAAUGACGGUACCUGAUGAAUAAGCCACGGCUAACUACGUGCCAACAGCCGCGGUAAUCUGAGCGGGCUGGCAAGGC